Malania oleifera is the source of this 1200-nucleotide long non-coding RNA. RefSeq lists it as uncharacterized. The record is from RefSeq and is a predicted model, not a curated record. The transcript is spliced from 6 exons. Lineage: Eukaryota; Viridiplantae; Streptophyta; Magnoliopsida; Santalales; Ximeniaceae.
GAAAAAUGGCGGAACUGCUAUUGUGCUGACACUGAGGACGGGGACGAAGACAAUGUGGUCAAUGGUAAUAUUGCCGGAAAAGCCCUAGAAAAUUUGGGUGAAGCUUAAUUCUUCUCGACUUCAAUCUUUAUUAUCAUCAUUAUCAUCAUCAUAAUCAUCAGCAGCAGCAGCAGUAGCAGUAGCGGCGGCGAUAUCAUCUCUUCUUCUUCUUCUUCUUAAGAUUGUCUAUGAUUCAUCAGAAAUUUGCUUGCGUAAGGCAUAAAGAGACAAUUGCAAGCAUUCUAGCACCUUGCUUGAAAUUCUUGUUUUGGGCCAGACUUCGUUUUGCAAAUAGCUAUGCUCAAUUGUCAUCACCAUUAAAGAUAAGAGGGAGUUUUUUUUUUUGGCCGUUUUGCUAUUCGAUAAAAUGCCUAACGGAAAAUCCUUCGGCGCUUUGUUUGGGAGUACGGAUUUUAGGGCUUCGGAUUUGUCCUUUUACAGGUCCUUAUUUGCACUUGUGAGCGGUUGGGUUCACAGCAAUCUUGUUUGGCUUGGGUUUAUAGCGAAGUUUGACGAUCUUUGGAUCAGCUGUCGAUGUUCGAGGAUGGGUUACUGCCCUGUUGGUUGAUUUAACUGCUGUUUGAGCACUUUAUAUUAAGCAGCAACUUUUGAUCAUCCUUGACUACUACAAGUGAGCAGCAGAUCUGCUGUAGCAGAGACGACGGAGAAUAGCUGAGACGCAGGAGAAGAUUGCGGCGAAGGAUUCGGAACAACAAAUACCAAAGAGAUUGGCGAUGAAGCGUGGUUGCGACAGUGACGGUGGUGAUCUGGUCACUAGUGAUCGUCUUUGCGUUGCGCUGUUGCAGAGAUCGGGAGCCGCUGUGAUCGUAAACUGAUUCCAGAACACCUUUGCUGAUGAGUUUGGCUCGGGUUUAUAGCUCAGUUCGACGAUCUUUGGACCAGCUGUCAAUGUUUGACGAUGGGUUACUGCCCUGUUGGUUGAUUUAACUGCUGUUUGAGCACUUUAUAUUAAGCAGCAACUUUUGAUCAUCCUUGACUACUAUAAGGUAGAAUACAUUUCUGACAUUUUUCCAUUUGAAUAUUAUCUUAGAAAGCAUGCUAUUGAUUCUUGCUAUCUUCCCAGUAUCAUUCUGCAUGUAAUAUUUCUUCGUUCCUAAAAGAGUUGAAAUGUACCAGCCUUUUCCAGAAGGCACAUACCAA